UUUUCUUUUGGGAAUUUCUGAGCUAGGCAACAUCUUGUAAGACAAAUUCAUGGCUUUAAGAUGUAGAAAAUAACCAUCUGUCCCACAAAACAGUGUUAAAAAUUGGGAAAUUGGGGGUAGAAUUCCAAAUUCAAUUGCUAUCCCUACCUCUUCUGCUGAUCAACUUACCUAAGGGAACAUGCAGACUUGGGUCUAUGCCCCAAUGAGCUUUUUAUUAGUAAGCAGGCGAAUGCCCAAACUCAAAGCUUGGAUCAAGGCCAAUAGAGACAGGGAGGUCUAAGUGAGGUCUCUUGCCUUUCCAACCCCAAAUCUAUAUCCUGUGACCCCCUCACCUAUGCCAGAAGAAAGAAGAGUAGGAGUGAGGAUAAGAACAAGACUUAUAGAGAGGAGGUUAUGAAUAGCUGAGCACUAGUCCACCUUCCUGACCAGGUACCAGGAUGAGCCUUGAGCCUUCUGCACCUUUGAAAUGCAGGAACCCACCCAAAUCUCUCACAAAGUCCCACAAAUGUAGAAGCAACUGUGACUUUUGUAGCCAGCAGCAUUUUGCAAACAAAAUGAUGUUCCUAAGACCCAGUGAAGUGAUGGCAGCAGACUGAGUUUUGGGGGGUAGGUGUGUGUGUGUGUGGGGGGGGCAGCAUAUGCAAGGGAAGCCAAGGACAAAGAACAAUGUCUUGGUUUCCGCCUCGCAGGGAUGCCUUCUAGAACAGGUUAGUUUUCCAACUGCUACAUGUAAAUUUAAAUUCAGUUGCGAGAAACUUCCAAACAAGACAUUAACUAUGACACAGGAUCCUUUUAUAAGGACAUAGAUGACUUCCUAUACAUCUUCCUCCUUCUGCUCAAAAAAAAUCUAACUUUUUCUAUGGACUCCCCUUUCCCCCCAACCAAUUGACCACAACUGACCGAUGUGGUCUGAUUGGUCUAAGAGUCAUCCUCACCCUUGCCAGGCAUUCAUUCAAGAAGGGACAGAGAGGGCAUCCAGGUGGCUCCAGCGGUUUAGUGCUGCCUUCACCCCCGGGGCCUGAUCCUGGAGACCCGGCCCUGUAGGGCUCCCUGCAUGGAGCCUGCCCCUCCCUCCGCCUGUGUCUGUGCCUCUCUGUGUGUGACUUUCAUGAAUAAAUAAACAAAAUCUUAAAAAAAAAAAAAAA
This 1145-nucleotide long non-coding RNA is filed under the name Canis lupus familiaris (dog). RNAcentral's name for it is "lncRNA (ENSCAFG00000050170.1)". Lineage: Eukaryota; Metazoa; Chordata; Mammalia; Carnivora; Canidae. The record is from RNAcentral.